This 1332-nucleotide ribosomal RNA is filed under the name uncultured bacterium. Its description in RNAcentral is "16S ribosomal RNA". It matches the Rfam family "Bacterial small subunit ribosomal RNA", at positions 66 to 1443 of the family's 1533-position model. The record is from RNAcentral.
ACGGUCACUUAGGUGAUAGUGGCGGACGGGUGAGUAACACGUGAGAACCUACCUUCAGAAUGGGGACAACAGUUGGAAACGACUGCUAAUACCCAAUGUGCCGAAAGGUGAAAGAUUUAUCGUCUGAAGAUGGGCUCGCGGCUGAUUAGCUAGUUGGUGGUGUAAGAGACUCCCAAGGCAACGAUCAGUAGCUGGUCUGAGAGGAUGAGCAGCCACACUGGAACUGAGAAACGGUCCAGACUCCUACGGGAGGCAGCAGUGGGGAAUUUUCCGCAAUGGGCGAAAGCCUGACGGAGCAAUACCGCGUGAGGGAGGAAGGUUCUUGGAUUGUAAACCUCUUUUCUAGGGGAAGAAAAAAAUGACGGUACCCUAGGAAUAAGCAUCGGCUAACUCCGUGCCAGCAGCCGCGGUAAUACGGAGGAUGCAAGCGUUAUCCGGAAUUAUUGGGCGUAAAGCGUCCGUAGGUGGUAUUUCAAGUCUGCCGUCAAAGCAUGGAGCUUAACUCCAUAAAGGCGGUGGAAACUGAGAAACUAGAGUACAGUAGGGGUAGCAGGAAUUCCCAGUGUAGCGGUGAAAUGCGUAGAUAUUGGGAAGAACAUCGGUGGCGAAAGCGUGCCACUGGACUGAAACUGACACUGAGGGACGAAAGCUAGGGUAGCGAAAGGGAUUAGAUACCCCUGUAGUCCUAGCCGUAAACGAUGGAUACUAGGCGUAGCGCGUAUCGACCCGUGCUGUGCCGAAGCUAACGCGUUAAGUAUCCCGCCUGGGGAGUACGCACGCAAGUGUGAAACUCAAAGGAAUUGACGGGGCCCGCACAAGCGGUGGAGUAUGUGGUUUAAUUCGAUGCAACGCGAAGAACCUUACCAAGGCUUGACAUGUCCUGAAUUCUGGUGAAAGCUGGAAGUGCCUUAGGGAGCAGGAACACAGGUGGUGCAUGGCUGUCGUCAGCUCGUGUCGUGAGAUGUUGGGUUAAGUCCCGCAACGAGCGCAACCCUCGUUUUUAGUUGCCAUCAUUAAGUUGGGCACUCUAAAGAGACUGCCGGUGACAAACCGGAGGAAGGUGGGGAUGACGUCAAGUCAUCAUGCCCCUUACGUCUUGGGCUACACACGUACUACAAUGGUCGGGACAACGGGCAGCAAAUCCGCGAGGACAAGCGAAUCCCAGCAAACCCGGCCUCAGUUCAGAUUGCAGGCUGCAACUCGCCUGCAUGAAGGAGGAAUCGCUAGUAAUCGCAGGUCAGCAUACUGCGGUGAAUUCGUUCCCGGGCCUUGUACACACCGCCCGUCACACCAUGGGAGCUGGUCACGCCCGAAGUCGUUACUCCAACCCGC